AUUUAUGAGUCCUCUGAGAAGUU
Molecule: non-coding RNA, 23 nt
Filed under: Cricetulus griseus (Chinese hamster)
Lineage: Eukaryota; Metazoa; Chordata; Mammalia; Rodentia; Cricetidae
Source: RNAcentral